UUGUUUGAUAUUCAGGCUACAUUGUUAAGAAGUCCUGCCAUCAUCAUUGGACCAUGAGAGUUUUGCAGAACAAAUUUGAAGAACUUGGGAGUUUGGUGAACUUGAAUUGACUUGGAUCAACCUACAUUUAACUUCAUACUAACUGGAAGACAGAAACUAUGUGAAACAGAGCCUGUCAUCCCAGCAGACAUUGCGUUUCAUCAGCCAACUCACAGCUGCUCAACAUGAGAGUGAUCCCCGGUGAGGCCCAGCUGAUCUCAGCCAUGGCCAGCACUACCUCAGCUCAUAAACUCAUGCAAGGGUUCCUGCUAUUGUCUCAUCUAAGGUAGACUUGGGUGGUAGCUCUGUGUCAUUCUCCAUGUUCCAAGACUGAGACUUUUGGCUGGAACCAGAGACAUCUGUUCAGCACAUCAUUUCACAGCAAAGGCUAAAAGAAGUGCUACCUGGGAUGUGUUCUUUUGGAUGAUCACAACCACCAAGAAGUCCUUCCUCAUCAAUUUCCACGCUUCCUUGAAAUGUGCAGUAUUCACAUCUGCAGCUGCAAAUUUUGUGGAAAUACACUGACUCACGCCACAUGGGCAGGCAAACACAGAAUGGUACAAUGAAGAUGUUAAAAUUCAGACAAGCAUAAUGGCAGAAUGAGAGAAGCUUUUACAAACAGCCAAAGAAUGUGAAAACACAGAAUUGGAUAAAAGUAACAGGAUCUGAUACUGUGCGACUUCUGGAUCUUUCCCAAAGUCACAAGGACCAUGAAAAGAAAAUGUUUUGCAUCUAUUCAAGACAUAUAGGCACAACAGUACAACUAAAAUCAGGAAAGAAGACUUCCAGAACUGCUCCAGACAUGGGACGCAAAAAUGAAGGCCUAAGAGGGCAACAAGUUGACACAACUAACCUGCCAGAACAGAUAGAAGACAAGAGAACUAUGGAACAAAUGGCAAAGAUCAUACUAGGACACGUCAUCAGGGUACACCCAGAACCCAUUACCUAUGAAUGUUAGCACAAUUGAGCAUGCCUUGUUUUAGGUAUCCAAGAGCUUCUGCACUGUCAGUGUAAAUGUUUGGCUUGGAACCCUUCAGUGUAAUCAGGUCCAGAGCUCAGAUAUUGUCACUCUUCACUCUCAUACAUAUUUUUCUUCCUUAUUCUUCCAUGCCCCUUAGUUCUUUUGCUAGGAUGUCUGACCUCAGGCAGUUCUUCCCAUUCAGGAUUUAUUCUUCUGCUCCCUUGGAAACAAAAUUUACCAUAGCUGUUUCUCAGCUCUCUGGGCCCUUUAGAUACAAUGUGGACUGAAUUAAUGGCAAGAUUGAAAGACAAAUAGGAAAGAGUCUCUGUAUUUCUUCAAUGAUAUCUGUAAUAGCCAAUUUUUUUUUUUAGAAUAAA
Cavia porcellus (domestic guinea pig) is the source of this 1377-nucleotide long non-coding RNA. RefSeq lists it as uncharacterized. The record is from RefSeq and is a predicted model, not a curated record. Lineage: Eukaryota; Metazoa; Chordata; Mammalia; Rodentia; Caviidae. The transcript is spliced from 7 exons.